UCAGUCCGUGCGCCAAGCCCUUGAGUAGCCUGUUUUUUAUUUGCAACCGCGGGAAAAAUCGAGGUGCAAAAAGAUGACGACGACACAAUUGUUUUGUUGGGAAUUUGCAACCUUAUUUGGAUCUGAACUGGCGUGUGCUGGAGGAAUCCUUGUUCAUAACUUGGUUUGCUGCUGAGGUAUGUCCCUUUGUCACCUAUGUCACUUUAGCUGAGGUUCGUUGCGCCCAACUGUAGACCAUGAAGACCUGUGUUUGCACUACAUAUUUUUUCGUCGUAAUCGUACCAUCAACUUGCUUGUCGUGCUGGAGUGGAUAGCAUAUAGCGGACACUCUCGGCUUAUGCUCUAAGCCAAAGGUAGAUAUAUUUGGGUUUGGAUUCCCAAAGCACAUCCCAAUCAGGCUAUGCAAAAUGGAGCGGCCCACAAUUUCGUGGAGAUGGUCUUGCGCGCUCGUCAUCAACAGCACUAGGUCCAGUGGGCCAAUCAGGCUGAAUGGCAUCAUCCAGCUGUGACUGGGGUGUAGGAGUCGCCACCUGCUGUUGCGCCGACUCGAGCUAGUACUCGCAUGAGCUCGCUGGAAUUGCUAUGUGCAUCCA
Molecule: long non-coding RNA, 593 nt
Organism: Sycon ciliatum
Lineage: Eukaryota; Metazoa; Porifera; Calcarea; Leucosolenida; Sycettidae
Exons: 3
Source: RefSeq, a predicted model, not a curated record